CCUACGGGGGGCUGCAGUAGGGAAUAUUGCACAAUGGGGGAAACCCUGAUGCAGCGACGCCGCGUGAGUGAUGAAGGCCUUCGGGUCGUAAAGCUCUGUUCUACGUGACGAAAAAAAUGACGGUAGCGUAGAAGAAAGGACCGGCUAACUUCGUGCCAGCAGCCGCGGUAAUACGAGGGGUCCUAGCGUUGUUCGGAAUCAUUGGGCGUAAAGCGUCUGUAGGCGGCUUUGUAAGUCAGGUGUGAAAGCCCCGGGCUCAACCCGGGAAGUGCAUU
RNAcentral lists this ribosomal RNA (275 nucleotides) under uncultured bacterium. Its description in RNAcentral is "partial 16S ribosomal RNA". It matches the Rfam family "Bacterial small subunit ribosomal RNA", at positions 338 to 627 of the family's 1533-position model. The record is from RNAcentral.